Molecule: ribosomal RNA, 492 nt
Filed under: uncultured bacterium
Lineage: Bacteria
Description: partial 16S ribosomal RNA
Rfam family: Bacterial small subunit ribosomal RNA
Source: RNAcentral
GAUGAACGCUAGCUACAGGCUUAACACAUGCAAGUCGAGGGGAAACGACAUCGAAAGCUUGCUUUUGAUGGGCGUCGACCGGCGCACGGGUGAGUAACGCGUAUCCAACCUGCCCAUCACUUGGGAAUAACCUUGCGAAAGUAAGACUAAUACCCAAUGAUAUCCCACGAAGACAUCUGAAUGGGAUUAAAGAUUUAUCGGUGAUGGAUGGGGAUGCGUCUGAUUAGCUUGUUGGCGGGGUAACGGCCCACCAAGGCAACGAUCAGUAGGGGUUCUAAGAGGAAGGUCCCCCACAUUGGAACUGAGACACGGUCCAAACUCCUACGGGAGGCAGCAGUGAGGAAUAUUGGUCAAUGGGCGAGAGCCUGAACCAGCCAAGUAGCGUGCAGGAUGACGGCCCUAUGGGUUGUAAACUGCUUUUAUAAGGGAAUAAAGUGGGUCUCGUGAGACUUUUUGCAUGUACCUUAUGAAUAAGGACCGGCUAAUUCCGUG